Molecule: transfer RNA, 73 nt
Filed under: Acromyrmex echinatior (Panamanian leafcutter ant)
Lineage: Eukaryota; Metazoa; Arthropoda; Insecta; Hymenoptera; Formicidae
Rfam family: tRNA
About the family: Transfer RNA (tRNA) molecules are approximately 80 nucleotides in length. Their secondary structure includes four short double-helical elements and three loops (D, anti-codon, and T loops).
Source: Rfam by way of RNAcentral
GCCUCGGUAGUUUAAAGACUUAGAACGCUCGUAUAGAAUGCAGGAGAUUCGGGUUCGACUCCCAGCCGAGGUA